AUGAAAGCCAACAUGGCGGACUUUGAGGUAACUUCGAUGUCUUCAACUUCUUCAUCUUUAACUUUAUCCAUAUGAUGGAGAGGGAUAAUACCUAAAGUUCUUACAAAAACGU
Pecten maximus is the source of this 112-nucleotide long non-coding RNA. RefSeq lists it as uncharacterized. The transcript is spliced from 2 exons. Lineage: Eukaryota; Metazoa; Mollusca; Bivalvia; Pectinida; Pectinidae. The record is from RefSeq and is a predicted model, not a curated record.